GACGAACGCUGGCGGCGUGCCUAAUACAUGCAAGUCGAACGCAGUGGGGACGGGUGAGUAACACGUGGGUAACCUCCCAUCAGAGGGGAUAACACUUGGAAACAGGUGCUAAAACUGAUACUGGUGGAUGGACCCGCGGUGCAGUCGCUAGUUGGUGAGGUAACGUCUCACCAAGGCCACGAUGCAUACCCGCGCUGAUGUGGUGACCGGCAACACUGGGACGGAGACACGGCCCAGACUCCUACGGGAGGCAGCAGUCGGGAAUAUUCGGCAAUGGACGAAAGCCUGACCUAGCAACGCCGCGUGAGUGAAGAAGGUUUUCGGAUCGUAAAGCACUUUUGGCAGUGAGGCGGUAUCUAACCAGAAAGCCACGGCUAACUCCGUGCCAGCCGCCGCGGUAAUAC
This 404-nucleotide ribosomal RNA is filed under the name uncultured bacterium. RNAcentral's name for it is "partial 16S ribosomal RNA". It matches the Rfam family "Bacterial small subunit ribosomal RNA", at positions 28 to 526 of the family's 1533-position model. The record is from RNAcentral.